CAAAAAAGUAUCAAAGAUGCAAAUAACUAUGGUGAAAAUAUAUAUAAUAGGAUAAACAAAAUAAGGAUAUAUAGCAGAAGGAGAGGUGGUUCCCCGUGAAGAAAGGACUUCCCGCCCCGCCCCCUCUUCCCGUCCACGUCUGGGGGAUAUAUAAGGCGAACCCAGAGCCAGGAAGGGCAUAUUGUCCUUCCCAGAGGCACGAAAACGACUCUUUCUCUCGCCUCCAGGAUGAAGCUGAUUUCAAUGUUGAUGGCCCUAGUUGUGGCCCUCUCUGGCCUCCUGGGUUCAGCUCGUGCCAUGCCUGACCCCUUCCCUGUUGCUGACCCCGUGGCUGACCCCGCGGCUGACCCCUGGUUCUUUAGACGCAGGCACUACUACCCACACUACCACCACUACCCCCACCACCAUCACUACCACCACCACUGGUGAAAACAAGGAUUCACUUUUCUCUCUUGAAAAUAAUUCCCAAAAUGUAACAAUAUAUCUCAUUCCAGUGACUUUGUAUACCAAUGUACGAUUUAUGCUUUACGGUCAACUUGCUGUAAGAAUAAAAUCCUAAAUGAGA
This is a long non-coding RNA of Penaeus chinensis, 565 nucleotides long. RefSeq lists it as uncharacterized. NCBI's taxonomy places the organism in Eukaryota, Metazoa, Arthropoda, Malacostraca, Decapoda, Penaeidae. The record is from RefSeq and is a predicted model, not a curated record. The transcript is spliced from 2 exons.